Molecule: long non-coding RNA, 459 nt
Filed under: Fukomys damarensis (Damara mole-rat)
Lineage: Eukaryota; Metazoa; Chordata; Mammalia; Rodentia; Bathyergidae
Description: lncRNA (ENSFDAG00000027091.1)
Source: RNAcentral
CAGGAAUAGACUCAGCCAUUACUUGAGGGUUGUUUCCUCCUCCUAAUUCAUUCAGGUUGGUGGUGCACUUCAAUACCCUGUGAUUGUGCAACGAUGGUCCUGAUUUUCUCGCUGGCUGUCCUGUAAAUUGCCCUUGUGGGUUAGGAUUCCAACAUAUGAAUUUUGAGAGGACACAAACAUUUAAAGCAGGGCACAAAGCAUUCUCUACAACGUGUUUCCUGGUCAUAGGUGGAAGUCCACAGUCUCCGUGCCUACACAGACACACAGGCACAAUGGCCUCCAGAGGCUGGCUGGCAGGCAGUGGGGUCUCUGAGAAUAGCAUUUACUGGAAAAGAUUAUUGGAGUGAAGAAGAAAUUGCUCUGGCUCUCAUUCAACACGGCAGUGACAGAAUCAUGGAGUUUUAGCAUCUUUUUAAGCAGGCCACACGGACCCGUUGGAGAGCUGAUCAAAUAUCCAGG